UGGACUUGGUUGAGAUGGUCUCAUCUGUGGGCAUUGACUUGGUCGAGAUGGUCCCAUCUGCUGGAACACGCUCCCAUGAGAUGUUCCCAUCUGUGGGCAUUGACUUGGUCAAGAUGGUCCCACCCAUGGGUGUGGACGUGGUUGAGAUGGUUCCAUCCGUGGGCAAGGACUUGGUCGAGAUGGUCCCAUCUGUGGGAACAUGCACCCAUGAGAUGGUGUCAUCCUUGGGAAUCGACUUGGUCAGCAUGGUCCCAUCUGUUGGAGAAGGCUCCCAUGACAUGGUCCUAUACAUGGGCACAGACUUGGUCAAGAUGAUCCCACCUGCUGGGACAUGCUCCCAUGAGAUGGUCUCAUCCAUGGGCAAGGACUUGGUCAACACGGUCCCAUCUGGGGGUGUGGGCUUGGUCAAGGUGGUUCCAUCUGUUGGGACAUGCACCCAUGACAUGGUCCCAUGGGUGGGCACGGACUUCGGUGCGAUGGUCCCAAAGGUGGGCAUGGACGUGGGCGCGAUGGUCCCAAAGGUGGGCACGUGCUCGUGCGAGACGCUCCUGUCCACGGCCCCACACCCGCGGGGCUCCUGCCAGAAGCCCCCACCCAGGGCCACGUCCUUGUACGAGAAGCUCCCACCUGUGGGCGACGCGGUCCCACCGGGUGGUGGGUGCUCACAGGAGAUGCUCCCACCCAUGGGCACGGACUGGGGUGAGCUGGUCCCAUGGGUGGCCACGGGCUCGUGUGGGGUGCUCCUGGACGUGGGGAUGGGCUCGGAGGUGGUGGUCCCAUGGGUGACCAAGUGCUCGCGUGAAAUGGUCCCAUACGUGGAGAUGGAUUCGGCGGAGGUGGUCCUAUGGGUGUCCACGUGCUCAUGUGAGGUGCUCCCAUACGUGAAGGCGGACUUGGAGGAGGUGGUCCCAUGGGUGGCCCCAUGCUCAUGUGAAGUGCUCCCAUAUGUGAAGAUGGAUUCGGAGGACGUGGUCCCAUGGGUGGUCACGUGCUCCUGUGAAGUGCUCCCAUACGUGAAGAUGGACUCAGAGGAGAUGGUCCCAUGGGUGGCCACGGUGGUCCCAUGGCCGUCCACGUGCUCGUGUGAGAUGCUCCCACCCACGUCCACGGGUGAGAAGCUCUCACACGCAGCUCCAUGGCUUGGGUGCUCCGUCAGCGUGCUCCCACCCCCAGACGUGCACAGGGGCGAGGAGCUCCCAUGGGUGCCCACGCGUCCCACCGGGGCGCCCCCGUACGCGGGGACGGGCUCGGAGGAGGAGGUCCCAUGGGUGGGGACGCGCUGGUGCGAGCCCCCCUGGUGACCAGGGUCGGACCCGUGGGUGCCACCACCGCCACCAGCGGUGCCACCACCGCCGUGGGUGCCACCACCAUGGGUGCCACCGGUGUCCCCGUGCUGCCCGUCGAUGGCCCCCUGCAGGUCCCAGACGCAGAGCUGGGCCUGCACCAGGCUGGCCCAGAAGACGUCGGCGGGCGCGGGCAGGGGGGGCCCGGGGGUCCCGGCGGCCGGGGGGGCGGCGUCGGAGAAGACGAUGGCGUCCUGCGCCGCCAGCGCGCCGGGGGGGCGGCCGCCACCCGGCUCCAUGCCGCGGCGUCACCGGCGUCACCGCGGCCCCCCCAUGGCCGUGGGCCUGACCUGGGGGAGAAGCCCCGUUAACGGACGGAUGGGGGGGGGGGCGCUGGGAGCCGGGGGCCCCCCCAGCGCGCCCCACGCCGUCCCCGUGUCACCCACGUCACCGCCCGCCGGCUUCCGGCCCCGCUACCGGGGCAGGAAGGGGGGAUGGGAGGGAGGAAACCCUGUGCCCCCCCACAC
RNAcentral lists this long non-coding RNA (1810 nucleotides) under Anser brachyrhynchus (Pink-footed goose). Its description in RNAcentral is "lncRNA (ENSABRG00000011327.1)". The record is from RNAcentral. Lineage: Eukaryota; Metazoa; Chordata; Aves; Anseriformes; Anatidae.